GAUGAACGCUGGCGGCGUGCCUAAUACAUGCAAGUCGAGCGAAUGGAUUAAGAGCUUGCUCUUAUGAAGUUAGCGGCGGACGGGUGAGUAACACGUGGGUAACCUGCCCAUAAGACUGGGAUAACUCCGGGAAACCGGGGCUAAUACCGGAUAACAUUUUGAACCGCAUGGUUCGAAAUUGAAAGGCGGCUUCGGCUGUCACUUAUGGAUGGACCCGCGUCGCAUUAGCUAGUUGGUGAGGCAACGGCUCACCAAGGCAACGAUGCGUAGCCGACCUGGGAGGGUGAUCGGCAACACUGGGACUGAGACACGGCCCAGACUCCUACGGGAGGCAGCAGUAGGGAAUCUUCCGCAAUGGACGAAAGUCUGACGGAGCAACGCCGCGUGAGUGAUGAAGGCUUUCGGGUCGUAAAACUCUGUUGUUAGGGAAGAACAAGUGCUAGUUGAAUAAGCUGGCACCUUGACGGUACCUAACCGGAAAGCCACGGCUAACUACGUGCCAGCCGCCGCAGUAA
This 515-nucleotide ribosomal RNA is filed under the name uncultured bacterium. RNAcentral describes it as "partial 16S ribosomal RNA". It matches the Rfam family "Bacterial small subunit ribosomal RNA", at positions 28 to 523 of the family's 1533-position model. The record is from RNAcentral.